Molecule: long non-coding RNA, 878 nt
Organism: Manis javanica (Malayan pangolin)
Lineage: Eukaryota; Metazoa; Chordata; Mammalia; Pholidota; Manidae
Source: RefSeq, a predicted model, not a curated record
CGAAGGCGAGGCCAUUUGGUGUAGUGAGAACAGCCGGGAUGACAACAGGAGGGUCAGCAAGUCUGACUGUGAGUUUCUGCUCCCUGACCUGCCAGGGGACACAUGUCCUCUCUGAACAUCAGUUUCCUCAUCUGAGAAAUGGGGGGAUCCACGUCCUAGCGAGCAUUCGUUCAUCCCACUGAGCUGCUUCAGCACCUACUCUGUGUCAGUCUCGGAGGAUGUAAAGGCAGCAACCCUUUGUCAGCAAACUCAUCCUUCCAGACUCUCAGUGAAAACACCCCUGACUCGUGACACAGCUCUCUGAGUUCUGCUCCAGCCAGAAGAAGCCUGGGGAGCUGGUCUUGGAUUCAAGGGAGGGAUUUUGGAGCAUUUUGACAGAAUUCAGCUGAGUGAAAGCCAGAGUUCUUAUAAAGGCCUGUAAGACCCUGUACAUUCCAGACUACCCCUGCCCCCACCACCUCUUUGACCCUUUCUUCCACUGCUCUUUCCUUUGCCAGCUCUGCUUCAGAUACCCUGGUCUCAUCAUCAUUUCUUAAAUAUGACCUCCUCUCCCAUAUCCCUACCCCAGGCCCUUUGCAUUUGCUGUUCACCAGUAUCCUUUUUUCCUCCUUUAUCUGUAAUGGCUCCUUUGUUCAUCUUUAUCUUCAUCAGAUUUUGCUCAAAUAUCACUUUCUCAGGAAGGUCCAUCCAAACACCCUAUUUAAAAUUUGCAAACCCCAUCUCACGCCCUUCCCUGCUUUUUCUCCAUAGCACUACCAUCUUCAAGAGCUUGUAUGAUUCACCUAUUUAUUUGUUUACUGUCUGUCUUUCCACAUGAAACUGUGAGUUCCAAGAGCACAGGGAUUUGGGUCUUCCUGAUUCACUCUGUAUCCCCAGCA